RNAcentral lists this ribosomal RNA (390 nucleotides) under Odontura macphersoni. RNAcentral's name for it is "eukaryotic LSU rRNA". The stretch from base 333 to 390 matches the Rfam family "Eukaryotic large subunit ribosomal RNA", at positions 1 to 58 of the family's 3401-position model. The record is from RNAcentral. Lineage: Eukaryota; Metazoa; Arthropoda; Insecta; Orthoptera; Tettigoniidae.
UGAUGGACACAUGAACAUCGACAUUUCGAACGCACAUUGCGGUCCAUGGAUUCCGUUCCCGGACCACGCCUGGCUGAGGGUCGGUAGCUAAAACUGAAAUGCAUUCUUUGAAUGGAUAUUGGGAGCUUCGCGGUAUGUGCGGUUUCGGCUGCCUCUGCGUCUCCUUAAAUGAGCUCCGCGAGGAGCUGGACUUGUCACGAAGAAAACGGCGGUGUCUCGUCACGGCAGUUGAUUUCGGUGGUCCGCGCAGCGUCUCUGUAUGCUCGCGCCGGUUGCCCCGGUUCUUCUGCUUGGCGUGUCCCACCGUAGUGACAUGACAUUUUUUCCUAUCACGACCUCAGAUCAGGCGAGACUACCCGCUGAAUUUAAGCAUAUCAAUAAGCGGAGGAA